RNAcentral lists this ribosomal RNA (86 nucleotides) under Trachys fragariae. Its description in RNAcentral is "partial 16S ribosomal RNA". Lineage: Eukaryota; Metazoa; Arthropoda; Insecta; Coleoptera; Buprestidae. The record is from RNAcentral.
AUAAAAUUCAGAUUAAAAAUAAUCAAUUAAAAUGUUUGGUCCUUUCGUACUCAAACAUUUUAACAAAUUAAAGAUAGAAACCGUCC